UAGCACAGUGGUUAGUGCAGUCUGCCGGAAACAGAAAGACGCGGGUUCAAUUCCCGC
This 57-nucleotide transfer RNA is filed under the name Nippostrongylus brasiliensis. It matches the Rfam family "tRNA", at positions 8 to 63 of the family's 71-position model. From Rfam's summary of the family: Transfer RNA (tRNA) molecules are approximately 80 nucleotides in length. Their secondary structure includes four short double-helical elements and three loops (D, anti-codon, and T loops). Lineage: Eukaryota; Metazoa; Nematoda; Chromadorea; Rhabditida; Heligmosomidae. The record is from Rfam by way of RNAcentral.